GAUGAACGCUGGCGGCGUGCCUAAUACAUGCGAGUCGAGCGAACAGACGAGGAGCUUGCUCCUCUGACGUUAGCGGCGGACGGGUGAGUAACACGUGGAUAACCUACCUAUAAGACUGGGAUAACUUCGGGAAACCGGAGCUAAUACCGGAUAAUAUAUUGAACCGCAUGGUUCAAUAGUGAAAGACGGUUUUGCUGUCACUUAUAGAUGGAUCCGCGCCGCAUUAGCUAGUUGGUAAGGUAACGGCUUACCAAGGCAACGAUGCGUAGCCGACCUGAGAGGGUGAUCGGCCACACUGGAACUGAGACACGGUCCAGACUCCUACGGGAGGCAGCAGUAGGGAAUCUUCCGCAAUGGGCGAAAGCCUGACGGAGCAACGCCGCGUGAGUGAUGAAGGUCUUCGGAUCGUAAAACUUUGUUAUUAGGGAAGAACAAAUGUGUAAGUAACUAUGCACGUCUUGACGGUACCUAAUCAGAAAGCCACGGCUAACUACGUG
RNAcentral lists this ribosomal RNA (497 nucleotides) under uncultured bacterium. RNAcentral's name for it is "partial 16S ribosomal RNA". It matches the Rfam family "Bacterial small subunit ribosomal RNA", at positions 28 to 507 of the family's 1533-position model. The record is from RNAcentral.